This 714-nucleotide ribosomal RNA is filed under the name uncultured bacterium. Its description in RNAcentral is "bacterial SSU rRNA". It matches the Rfam family "Bacterial small subunit ribosomal RNA", at positions 111 to 823 of the family's 1533-position model. The record is from RNAcentral.
UAACACGUAUCCAACCUGCCGUCUACUCUUGGACAGCCUUCUGAAAGGAAGAUUAAUACAAGAUGGCAUCAUGAGUCCGCAUGUUCACAUGAUUAAAGGUAUUCCGGUAGACGAUGGGGAUGCGUUCCAUUAGAUAGUAGGCGGGGUAACGGCCCACCUAGUCUUCGAUGGAUAGGGGUUCUGAGAGGAUGGUCCCCCACAUUGGAACUGAGACACGAUCCAAACUCCUACGGGAGGCAGCAGUGAGGAAUAUUGGUCAAUGGGCGAGAGCCUGAACCAGCCAAGUAGCGUGAAGGAUGACUGCCCUAUGGGUUGUAAACUUCUUUUAUAAAGGAAUAAAGUUGGGUAUGGAUACCCGUUUGCAUGUACUUUAUGAAUAAGGAUCGGCUAACUCCGUGCCAGCAGCCGCGGUAAUACGGAGGAUCCGAGCGUUAUCCGGAUUUAUUGGGUUUAAAGGGAGCGUAGAUGGAUGUUUAAGUCAGUUGUGAAAGUUUGCGGCUCAACCGUAAAAUUGCAGUUGAUACUGGAUAUCUUGAGUGCAGUUGAGGCAGGCGGAAUUCGUGGUGUAGCGGUGAAAUGCUUAGAUAUCACGAAGAACUCCGAUUGCGAAGGCAGCCUGCUAAGCUGCAACUGACAUUGAGGCUCGAAAGUGUGGGUAUCAAACAGGAUUAGAUACCCUGGUAGUCCACACGGUAAACGAUGAAUACUCGCUGU